Molecule: ribosomal RNA, 253 nt
Filed under: uncultured bacterium
Lineage: Bacteria
Description: partial 16S ribosomal RNA
Rfam family: Bacterial small subunit ribosomal RNA
Source: RNAcentral
UACGGAGGGAGCUAGCGUUGUUCGGAAUUACUGGGCGUAAAGCGCGCGUAGGCGGCUUGGUAAGUUAGCGGUGAAAGCCCGGGGCUCAACCCCGGAACUGCCUUUAAGACUGCAUCGCUGGAAUCCGGGAGAGGUGAGUGGAAUUCCGAGUGUAGAGGUGAAAUUCGUAGAUAUUCGGAAGAACACCAGUGGCGAAGGCGGCUCACUGGACCGGUAUUGACGCUGAUGUGCGAAAGCGUGGGGAGCAGACAGG